UACGGAGGGGGCUAGCGUUAUUCGGAAUUACUGGGCGUAAAGCGCACGUAGGCGGAUUAGAAAGUCAGAGGUGAAAUCCCAGGGCUCAACCUUGGAACUGCCUUUGAAACUUCUAGUCUUGAGAUCGAGAGAGGUGAGUGGAAUUCCGAGUGUAGAGGUGAAAUUCGUAGAUAUUCGGAGGAACACCAGUGGCGAAGGCGGCUCACUGGCUCGAUACUGACGCUGAGGUGCGAAAGCGUGGGGAGCAAACGGG
This 253-nucleotide ribosomal RNA is filed under the name uncultured bacterium. RNAcentral describes it as "partial 16S ribosomal RNA". It matches the Rfam family "Bacterial small subunit ribosomal RNA", at positions 524 to 776 of the family's 1533-position model. The record is from RNAcentral.